UGCGCAGGCGGUUAUAUAAGACAGAUGUGAAAUCCCCGGGCUCAACCUGGGAACUGCAUUUGUGACUGUAUAGCUAGAGUACGGCAGAGGGGGAUGGAAUUCCGCGUGUAGCAGUGAAAUGCGUAGAUAUGAGGAGGAACACCGAUGGCGAAGGCAAUCCCCUGGGCCUGUACUGACGCUCAUGCACGAAAGCGUGGGGAGCAAACA
Molecule: ribosomal RNA, 207 nt
Filed under: uncultured bacterium
Lineage: Bacteria
Description: partial 16S ribosomal RNA
Rfam family: Bacterial small subunit ribosomal RNA
Source: RNAcentral